AAACGGCCGCGGUACCCUAACCGUGCAAAGGUAGCAUAAUCAUUUGCCUUUUAAUUGGAGGCUGGUAUGAAUGGUUUGACGAGAGCUAUGCUGUCUCUUUUAAAAUAUUUAAAAAUUAACUUUUAGGUGAAGAGGCCUAAAUUUAUUUAAGGGACAAGAAGACCCUGUUGAGCUUUAGUGAUGUUGUAAACGAUGAAGAAUAAGGUCAUUAUUGAUUUGUUGUGUAUUUAUUAUAAUAAAAGUUUGCAGAUAAUCUUUAGUUGGGGCGACUGAGGAACAUAAAAAGCUUCCUUGUAUAUAAAUUAUUUAAGUAAUUGAAUAAAUUAAUGCUUAUGUGUUAUUUUGAUCCAAAUUAUUUUUGAUUAAGAGAAAAAGUUACCACAGGGAUAACAGCGUAAUCUUUCUGGAGAGAUCUUAUCGAAAGAAGGGUUUGCGACCUCG
RNAcentral lists this ribosomal RNA (441 nucleotides) under Steromphala umbilicaris. Its description in RNAcentral is "partial 16S ribosomal RNA". It matches the Rfam family "Bacterial large subunit ribosomal RNA", at positions 1925 to 2528 of the family's 2925-position model. The record is from RNAcentral. Lineage: Eukaryota; Metazoa; Mollusca; Gastropoda; Trochida; Trochidae.